UCUUGAUUUGGUGGAUGGUGGUGCAUGGCCGUUCUUAGUUGGUGGAGUGAUUUGUCUGGUUAAUUCCGAUAACGAACGAGACUCUAGCCUAUUAAAUAACACACAGAAUCUUGUCUUCUGUGGCGUUUCUUAAUGGGAUCAAGUGUGUUUAACGCUUUGAAACAGAGCAAUAACAGGUCUGUGAUGCCCUUAGAUGUUCGGGGCCGCACGCGCGCUACAUUGAGAGACAAAAUGAGUUUUCUAUUCUUUAAUAAGAUUAGUAAUCUUUGAAUGUUUUUCUUAAU
RNAcentral lists this ribosomal RNA (284 nucleotides) under Lasioseius sp. 1 MRLL-2017. RNAcentral describes it as "partial 18S ribosomal RNA". It matches the Rfam family "Eukaryotic small subunit ribosomal RNA", at positions 1260 to 1571 of the family's 1831-position model. The record is from RNAcentral. Lineage: Eukaryota; Metazoa; Arthropoda; Arachnida; Mesostigmata; Blattisociidae.